This 371-nucleotide unclassified non-coding RNA is filed under the name Hevea brasiliensis (rubber tree). Lineage: Eukaryota; Viridiplantae; Streptophyta; Magnoliopsida; Malpighiales; Euphorbiaceae. The record is from RNAcentral.
CAGGUGUUGCAGGAGCUUGAUGAGAUGAUUAAAGCUUACCCAGAUUGCUAUGGUAGGAUCAUUGGUUUCGACAAUGUUCGCCAAGUCCAGUGCAUUAGUUUCCUUGCCUACAAGCCUAAGGGCGCUGAAUAAAUCUUUUGAUUUCUCUCUUUCCUCUUUUUUUUUUCCUUUUGGCAAUGCAAUUUGUUCAAUGAGGAUGUUUUUGAAAUAAUUUUCGUUUUCUUGGUUUAGUUUGUAUCUUUUUCUCCUUUCUCAUCGGAGUUUCUCCGACUGAAAUGGGAUGGAAGAUGCAAGGGUCAAUUUUAUAACUAUUGAACAUUUUCUUGGUAUCAAAUGUGAAACUAUGUCGUUUUAAAUUAUUUUUAUGGGUG